AUGAAGCACAUGAUAGCGUUGCAGCUUUUACCCUACGUUCUCUUCCUAACGGUCUUGCUAGCCAUGUCGGCGACCAGCCACGCGGCGGCCCUGCGUCUCGACCUCACGCACGCCGACAGCGGCCGCGGCUUCACCAGGGGCGAGCUCCUCCGCCGGAUGGCCGCUCGGUCACGUGCCCGCAUAAACAGCCGGUGGUCACCACCCGGCCGUGGCGCCAACGCCCACGCGGUGACGGUGCCCGCGGCCCGCGGCACCGUCGGCAAAGAGGACUUUAACUCCGAGUACCUCAUCCACUUUGGCAUCGGCACGCCGCGCCCGCAGCAUGUGGCGCUGACGCUCGACACCGGCAGCGACCUCAUCUGGACGCAGUGCUUCUGCCAGGUCUGCUUCCCGCAGCCGUUCCCAGAGCUGGACACCUCCGCCUCCGGCACAGCCCACGGCGUCUCCUGCUUCGACCCCCUGUGCGCGCAGGGGGGCUUCUCGCUCUCCGGGUGCGCCGUCGGCGACAACUCCUGCUUCUACACCGACUCCUACGGUGACAACUCGGUCACGACGGGGAAGCUGUACGAAGACACCUUCACCUUCCAACAGGCGCCCAACGGCAAGGCCGCCGUCGUGCCCAACCUCCGCUUUGGUUGCGGCAUGUUCAACACCGGCAACUUCGGAUCAAACGAGUCCGGCAUCGCCGGCUUCGGCCGCGGGGCAUUGUCUCUGCCGUCACAACUCAAGAUCGGCAGGUUCUCCCACUGCUUCACCACCAUCGUGGAGUCCAGGCCCAGCCCCGCGUUCCUGGGCACGCCGGACAACCUCGAAGCGCAUUCCACGGGGCCCAUCCAAUCCACGCCGUUGGUGCGAAACCCCGAAUCCAAUCACUACUACCUUUCGCUCAAGGGCAUCACCGUGGGCAAGAGGCGGCUGCCGUUCGACGCGUCGGCGUUCGCGCUCAAGGGCGACGGCUCCGGCGGGACGAUCAUCGACUCCGGCUCGGCCCUGACGAGCGUCCCGGAGGCCGUGUACCAGAGCCUCGUGGAGGCGUUCGAGUCGCAGGUGCCGCUGCCUGUCAACAAAAACAACACCGACGAGCACGAUGGCUUGCUGUGCUUCACCGUCUCGCCGAAGAAGAAGGAGACCGCCAUGCCGAAGCUGAUCCUCCACCUGGAGGGCGCGGAGUGGGAGCUUCCACGGGAGAACUACGUGCUGUACACCGAGGAGGACGGGCUGUGCGUGGUGAUAAGUUCCGCGGGCGAGGACAGCAGGUCGCUCAUCGGCAACUUCCAGCAGCAGAACACGCACAUCAUCUACGACCUGGAGCACAAUAUGUUGGUGUUCGUGCCCGCGCGCUGCGACAAGCUGUGA
This 1356-nucleotide ribosomal RNA is filed under the name Triticum aestivum (bread wheat). RNAcentral's name for it is "partial small subunit ribosomal RNA". The record is from RNAcentral. Lineage: Eukaryota; Viridiplantae; Streptophyta; Magnoliopsida; Poales; Poaceae.